AAUCAACGCUGGCGGCGUGCCUCAGACAUGCAAGUCGAACGAUUAAGACUCCCUUCGGGGAGUGCAUAAAGUGGCGCACGGGUGAGUAACACGUAGGUAAUGUACCGUAGGGUGGGGAAUAACUUAGGGAAACUUAAGCUAAUACCGCAUAAUGCAGCGGCUCCGAUUGGAGACAGUUGUUAAAGGAGCAAUCCGCCUUA
RNAcentral lists this ribosomal RNA (200 nucleotides) under uncultured bacterium. RNAcentral describes it as "partial 16S ribosomal RNA". It matches the Rfam family "Bacterial small subunit ribosomal RNA", at positions 32 to 222 of the family's 1533-position model. The record is from RNAcentral.